GACUUCAGGGAGAGGCUGUGGACCAAGUGCGUCAGUACUGAGAGUGGUAGUGAGGGUCCCAGGCUGGUGCAGCAUGAAGAGUACCACAAGAAAUGCCCACCUGUGAGACCGCUGAGGCCGGGCAGCGCCUAUCCACCUCCCCACCCACUUUUUCUCAGAUCACAGGCCUGGGAUCUUGGUACAGUCCAAAUGGUGGGGAAAGAGCAUGGAGAAUAACAAAUACAGAACACUUCUUGUUGACUUCUUCAGGUGAGAGCUCCAGGCGAGAUUUGAUUUAAAUUAGAAAGAAAAUGUUACAUUAGUAGCAACACCAGUAUUAUGGAGAAAUCUGUAAAACUAUUGAACUUAGAACUAAGUAUUAUUUAACUUGCACAGUCUCUGUAAGACAUAUCAUGCACUUAAACUCUUGUCAGACCAGUAAAGUAAAGUUUAUUUUAGUGCUUGUCACGGAUUGGAUUCCCUGGGAAGCAGAUGCUGUGUUGGAGAUGUGCACAUCACAAUGUUAUUGCAGGAGCAUGUUCUUGGGAAUACAAAUGUGGGGGAGUGAAGAGAAGAAAGCAGGAUGAAGCAGAAGGAAAAGAGGAGCUGCAAUCCAGUGCCCAAAGAGCUGUAGAACUGAGAUCACUCUGAAGAACUGUCCCAAACUGGAAGAAGAGGGGCAAGUAAUUAUAAUACCCUAUUGAUAAUCAUUGGAUGAGAGCUUCCCUGGGGAAGGAGGCAUUACUUUGUUCAUGGUGGGUCCCUUAAGCUAACGCAGUUUCAUCACAACGAUGCUCUCAAUCUGGAGUACACACAUCAAGAGAUGGGCAGACCCUUCAGGAGAGGUUUAAUGCAUCCAGUACACAUCGUGGUCGCUCCGCACAUGCUGGUACCCCCUGCUCCAUUAGCAGAAAUUGCUAAUUCUGAAGGUCUCCCCAUUUAAUGUAAUCCACCUCUCCCUCAUUUAAUCACAAAUACAUUCACGCCCUUCCCAGCAGGAGACAACUGAAUAUCACGUUGUGGGCUGUUCUUCAGGUACGUUCAGGUGAUAUCCAUUCCUCUUCUAGGUGCAGGUUCUCAAGGUCUACUAGCCUGUGGGCAAUGGGAGAUUGGUUAAACGAAUUGAGACACACUCAUAUGGUAGAUCAUUAAAACUAAAGUUGUAGAAGAUAAUCAUUAUAAGAGAAAAAGCUUCUGGGAUGUUGUUAAGGGGAAGAAGAUAAUAAAACAAUGUAUACCAUAUAAUUCCACUUCUGGGGAAAAAACAUACAUAUGAGAAAAAUCUGUAAGAAGGUACAUUAAAAUCCAGUAGUUACUUCUGGGGUGGUAGGAUUAUUGGUUAUUCUACUCUUUCUCCUUUUCUUUAAAUAUGUUUUCUAGAUCAGACAAAAAUAAUGUUACUUUUGAAAUACUGAAAAUAUUAUUUUUCCUCUAAAAAUUAUAGAUGUCUUAUGAGGAGUAUGUUUGUGGCUACAUUAGUCAAUUAAUGAUUGCUUGACCACUAGUUGGAGAAAUCAGGAAUGAGACUUUAAGUGGAGCUCGUAUGUUAACAGUGGCGGCUUCAGAGCCUGGAAGAUUUAGGAAAGGACUAGUCUGGGUAAAAGGAGAAGGUUUAGACCUAUGCUGUUCAAGACAGAGGCCACUAGCCACAUGUGACCACUGAGCACUUGAAAUAUGGCUAGUUCAAAUUGAGAUGUGCUUUAAGUGUAAAAAAAAAAUAAGAUUUCAAAGAUUUAGUAUUAAAAAUAUUUUAAAAUCCUCAAAAAUUUUUAAUAUUACAUCUUGAAAUAAUUAUAUUUUGUAUAUAUUGGGUAAAUAAAAUAUAAUAUUAAAAA
Long non-coding RNA from Homo sapiens (human), 1814 nucleotides. Lineage: Eukaryota; Metazoa; Chordata; Mammalia; Primates; Hominidae. The record is from Ensembl.